UCUGAUCCAGCCAUGCCGCGUGCAGGAAGACGGUCCUAUGGUUUGUAAACUGCUUUUGUAUGGGAGCAAUAAGGCCUUCGUGUAGGCUGAUGAGAGUACCAUACGAAUAAGCACCGGCUAACUCCGUGCCAGCAGCCGCGGUAAUACGGAGGGUGCAAGCGUUAUCCGGAUUUAUUGGGUUUAAAGGGUGCGUAGGCGGUUAUUUAAGUCAGUGGUGAAAGUUUUCGGCUCAACCGGAAAAUUGCCAUUGAUACUGGAUAGCUAGAAUAUGGUUGCUGUGAGUAGAAUGUGUGGUGUAGCGGUGAAAUGCAUAGAUCUCACACAGAAUACCGAUCGCGAAGGCAUCUCACAAAGCCAUCAUUGACGCUGAGGCACGAAAGUGUGGGGAUCAAACAGGAUUAGAUACCCUGGUAGUCCACACUGUAAACGAUGAUAACUAGCUGUUGGCGAUACACAGUCAGUGGCCAAGCGAAAGCGAUAAGUUAUCCACCUGGGGAGUACGACCGCAAGGUUGAAACUCAAG
RNAcentral lists this ribosomal RNA (523 nucleotides) under uncultured Bacteroidales bacterium. RNAcentral describes it as "bacterial SSU rRNA". It matches the Rfam family "Bacterial small subunit ribosomal RNA", at positions 382 to 905 of the family's 1533-position model. Lineage: Bacteria; Pseudomonadati; Bacteroidota; Bacteroidia; Bacteroidales. The record is from RNAcentral.